AAGUAGCAACAGCCCCCACCCUUCAUCUACCCAAGGCAGCGCCCGGGGCCACCAAGGCCAAAGCGCAGUUGGAGCGCGAGCGGGAGCCUGAGACUGCCUGACCUAAGCCUCCGGAGUGGGGCCCGCCGGAUCCUGAGCGGCUUCCGGCCCAAAAGGAGACGCACUUGAGUGAUCGCGAGGAGCAAACUUGGGGCUUUCAGCCUCGGGCCUCGAAGAGAUACCCCACACUGUCUACCACACAUCAACUCCAGCCCGGCUCUGCUCUGCUCGUAUCUAAGAAAAUGGAGAGGAAAAUCAACAUUGGCCUCAUCUUACUGCACCUAACCUUC
Molecule: long non-coding RNA, 329 nt
Filed under: Ursus maritimus (polar bear)
Lineage: Eukaryota; Metazoa; Chordata; Mammalia; Carnivora; Ursidae
Description: lncRNA (ENSUMAG00000023297.1)
Source: RNAcentral